Molecule: long non-coding RNA, 2019 nt
Organism: Anas platyrhynchos (mallard)
Lineage: Eukaryota; Metazoa; Chordata; Aves; Anseriformes; Anatidae
Source: RefSeq, a predicted model, not a curated record
GUUCUCCUGUCUGUGACAGAAUAGCCAUUAUUUAUCUCACUUUUAAAGUACAGAACAGGAACCUUUAUUGCUUCGCUUUAGUUUGAGGAAGUUGAUCGGAAGGAAUGGUCCUGAGAAGAUGGGAAGCUGCUACAAGGUAGAACAAGAAUAUUAACCAGAGAGGAGUGCUGGUGGGGAAGGGGCCUGACUCUGGACUGGAGACCUGCACCCUAAUUACACAGCACGACACCAAGAAGAAGAAAUUCUUCACCUACCAGGCGAUCGGCAGAAAAUACGAAGUCUCCUCUACUGGCUGUCCUGAAAAAGGUAACAAUUUCUAUUUUAAAUUGGGGAAUAAUUAAGAACAUUGCUUAAAUAUAAUGUUAUUCAAAGGACAAUAUUUUCCAGAGGUGGUUUGGAGAAAGGUCUCCUGCCACGUUCCAACUUUAUCCCCCAGAGAUCCUACCGCGUGUUUCGUACCAGCUGAGGAAGCCUGAGCUGCAGUGAGCUCGCGCGGGGCUCUGCCUCGUACCACUGGCCACGUCGCUGCACUGCUCACUUCCAGAACACCUCAGCAGCUCUGAGCUGUGCCAGCCUGGUGGGUUCUCUGCAGCUGUAAGCAGGAGAGCUUUGCUUUGCCUGUUCUCAAACCAGUCGGAGCCCAGGACAGUGAUGAAGCAGAUCCCAGGCGCUGAGGCUGACCCAGUGCACCUGACAAGCAGGGUCUCCUAUCUCAUCAGGAAUUCACUCACAGCGUGGUAAGCCUGGUGAGCCUCAGCCUAAAAAUGAGCAGGGACAAGCAAGCAGUGCUACGCAAACCCCUCUCUCCUGGCUUAGUGGCUUAGGUGGAACUUUUUACUACCACGACUGCUGGCCCAUCCAGCAGGCAGGAAGGGCAGGCUCGCCUCUCCCUGCUCCUUGCUGUGCAAACACGCCACGGGGACGGCUGCUGUCAGAAAGCCAGGUUGGAACAGCUGGCUUCCCGGGUCAAGACCAACUCUCACCACACAGCACCAGGACAAGCUUCCAACUAAGGAGACAACAUUUCCAGUACGUUAGCCUUAAAAAUCCUCAGACAAGGAAUCACCAUCGCAGGCAGGUCGCUUUUAGUGACACUUUCUGGUAAUCACACUAGGCCUACCCCUCUCUCAUCUCCAAGCUAUGAUACUCUGGAUGUCUCUUGAAAUGCCACGGAUAGUUUUGCACUUAAUCUCCAGGGUUCUGCAACAUCUUCCGUUUACAAGAGUGGCAGUCAGGAUGUUUGUCUGCCGACUCCCCGUACUGCUAGUACAACCUUGCCACAUUAAGAAAAUGAGGUUUUAAAAGACUGGCAGCCUAAUCUGAUUUCUUUCCUUGUGCUAACACCACUGGUAUUUGUUAUUCAAAAUGCUGUUUGUUUUUUGCUCUUUCUAGCAAUGACAGGAUACUCUUAGUGCUCUGCUACUUUGAUGUUCAUCAGAAAACCAGAACUGAAGAAAGCCCCAUCAAAUACCCAAGAAACAAGCUUGCAAUCACACAACCUGAUUUUGCUGAGAUUUUUAAAGGGAUUCAUACUCCCAACUGUGGUGUGUGCAAAUAUAAAAAAAUAACAGCAAGUAGCAAAGUGUGUAGGUGGUGUAUUCUUAGGUUUUUCCAGACUAGAGCGUGGCAUGUCAGAAAGCUUACCCAUAUUUCAUGAGAGGGGGGUAAGACAAACCUGACCGUGUCACAACUCUGGUUUUGAUUGCAAAGCAAUAAAAGUUCAGAGUGAAUACUGUGGGCUAUUAAUACAGAUUAGGAGGUUUUAAAUGAACUACUCUGUCCUCGCACAGGGAGGCUGAUGUUUUUACACACUGUUCACAGAAAACCCUUGGUCAGUUCUGUCUGGUUUUUAAGGGGAUGGAGAACAAUAGUGGUGGCAUGCAUAAAAAUUAGAGACAAAUAAUAAUAAUAUUGAAAAUGACAGGCCUCGUGCACACCUUCAGCUGGAAAGCUGUGACCAGGUUUUAAGCCCCACAUCACGAGAAAAUUAAUUUCUAAGGGGCCAGAAAAAAGGUUCAU